RNAcentral lists this transfer RNA (85 nucleotides) under Felis catus (domestic cat). It matches the Rfam family "tRNA". From Rfam's summary of the family: Transfer RNA (tRNA) molecules are approximately 80 nucleotides in length. Their secondary structure includes four short double-helical elements and three loops (D, anti-codon, and T loops). The record is from Rfam by way of RNAcentral. Lineage: Eukaryota; Metazoa; Chordata; Mammalia; Carnivora; Felidae. RNAcentral also lists the same sequence under 4 other names.
UCCUGGGUGGCUCAGUCGGUUGAGCGUCUGACUUCGGCUCAGGUCAUGAUCUCGCGGUCCGUGAGUUCGAGCCUCACGUCGGGCU